This 253-nucleotide ribosomal RNA is filed under the name uncultured bacterium. RNAcentral describes it as "partial 16S ribosomal RNA". It matches the Rfam family "Bacterial small subunit ribosomal RNA", at positions 524 to 776 of the family's 1533-position model. The record is from RNAcentral.
UACGAGGGGGGCGAGCGUUGUUCGGAAUUAUUGGGCGUAAAGGGUGCGUAGGCGGUUUGGUAAGUCUUGUGUGAAAUCUACAGGCUCAACUUGUAGUCUGCACGAGAAACUGCCGGGCUUGAGUGUGGGAGAGGUGAGUGGAAUUCCUGGUGUAGCGGUGAAAUGCGUAGAUAUCAGGAGGAACACCUGUGGCGAAAGCGGCUCACUGGACCAUAACUGACGCUGAUGCACGAAAGCGUGGGGAGCAAACAGG